CCUACGGGGGGCUGCAGUGAGGAAUAUUGGUCAAUGGACGCAAGUCUGAACCAGCCAAGUCGCGUGAAGGAUGAAGGUAUUAUGUAUUGUAAACUUCUUUUGUCAGGGAAUAAUGGGUGUCACGUGUGACGCAGAGGAAUGUACCUGACGAAUAAGCAUCGGCUAACUCCGUGCCAGCAGCCGCGGUAAUACGGAGGAUGCGAGCGUUAUCCGGAUUUAUUGGGUUUAAAGGGUGCGUAGGCGGUUUGUUAAGUCAGUGGUGAAAGUUUGCGGCUCAACCGUAAAAUUGCCAUUGAAACUGGCGAACUUGAGUACAGUAGAGGUAGGCGGAAUUCGUGGUGUAGCGGUGAAAUGCUUAGAUAUCACGAAGAACUCCGAUUGCGAAGGCAGCUUGCUGGACUGUAACUGACGCUGAGGCACGAAAGCGUGGGGAUCAAACAGGAUUAGAUACCCCUGUAGUC
Molecule: ribosomal RNA, 461 nt
Filed under: Escherichia coli
Lineage: Bacteria; Pseudomonadati; Pseudomonadota; Gammaproteobacteria; Enterobacterales; Enterobacteriaceae
Description: bacterial SSU rRNA
Rfam family: Bacterial small subunit ribosomal RNA
Source: RNAcentral